RNAcentral lists this ribosomal RNA (1459 nucleotides) under metagenome. Its description in RNAcentral is "bacterial SSU rRNA". It matches the Rfam family "Bacterial small subunit ribosomal RNA". The record is from RNAcentral.
AGAGUUCGAUCCUGGCUCAGGAUGAACGCUGGCGGCGUGCUUAAUACAUGCAAGUCGAACGGAGAGCGGGACUUCGGUUUACGCUCUUAGUGGCGAACGGGUGAGUAACGCGUUGGUGACCUGCCCCGAAGAGAGGGACAACCCUGGGAAACUGGGGCUAAUACCUCAUAUGAUCGUGAGAGUUAGAGUACUGACGAUUAAAGGAGCAAUCCGCUUCGGGAGGGGCCUGCGUCCCAUCAGCUAGUUGGUAGGGUAACGGCCUACCAAGGCGAAGACGGGUAGGGGACCUGAGAGGGUGACCCCCCACAAUGGAACUGAAACACGGUCCAUACACCUACGGGUGGCAGCAGUAGGGAAUAUUGCACAAUGGGCGAAAGCCUGAUGCAGCAACGCCGCGUGUGCGAUGAAGGCCUUCGGGUUGUAAAGCACUUUUCGGGGAGAUGAGGAAGGACAGUAUCCCCGGAAUAAGGCUCGGCUAACUACGUGCCAGCAGCCGCGGUAAAACGUAGGAGCCAAGCGUUAUCCGAAUUUAUUGGGCGUAAAGCGCGUGUAGGCGGCUUGGAAAGUUGGAUGUGAAAGCUCCCGGCUCAACUGGGAGAGGACGUUCAAAACUACCAGGCUAGAGGACGGUAGAGGGAGGUGGAAUUCCCGGUGUAGUGGUGAAAUGCGUAGAUAUCGGGAGGAACACCAGUGGCGAAGGCGGCCUCCUAGGCCGGUCCUGACGCUCAGACGCGAAAGCUAGGGGAGCAAACGGGAUUAGAAACCCCGGUAGUCCUAGCUGUAAACGAUGUAGACUUGGGUUGUGGUGUAAGAGCCAUCAGUGCCGAAGCAAACGCGAUAAGUCUACCGCCUGGGGAUUACGGCCGCAAGGUUAAAACUCAAAGGAAUUGACGGGGGCCCGCACAAGCAGCGGAGCGUGUGGUUUAAUUCGAUACUACACGAAGAACCUUACCCGGGCUUGACAUACAGGUAGGGAAGCGAAAGCGGACCGACCCUUCGGGGAGCCUGAACAGGUGCUGCAUGGCUGUCGUCAGCUCGUGUCGUGAGAUGUCCGGUUAAGUCCGGUAACGAGCGCAACCCUUGCCGUAUGUUACAAGUGUCAUACGGGACUGCCGGUAUAAAGCCGGAGGAAGUUGGGGAUGACGUCAAGUCAGCAUGCCCUUUAUGUCCGGGGCUACACACACGCUACAAUGGUCGGUACAAUAGGUAGCAAGACCGCGAGGUGGAGCCAAUCCUAAAACCCGGCCUCAGUUCAGAUUGCAGGCUGCAACUCGCCUGCAUGAAGCUGGAGUUGCUAGUAACCGCGCGUCAGCUAUAGUGCGGUGAAUACGUUCCCGGGCCUUGUACACACCGCCCGUCACGUCAUGGGAGCUGGCAACACCUGAAGCCGGUAUCCUAACCGUAAGGAGGGGGCCGUCGAAGGUGGGGUUGGUGACUGGGACGAAAUCGUAACAAGGUA